UACGGAGGAUGCGAGCGUUAUCCGGAUUUAUUGGGUUUAAAGGGUGCGCAGGCGGAGGUGCAAGUCAGCGGUCAAAUUGCGGGGCUCAACCCCGUACUGCCGUUGAAACUGCAUCCCUUGAGUGCGCGAGAAGUAUGCGGAAUGCGUGGUGUAGCGGUGAAAUGCAUAGAUAUCACGCAGAACUCCGAUUGCGAAGGCAGCAUACCGGCGCGCAACUGACGCUCAUGCACGAAAGCGUGGGUGUCGAACAGG
RNAcentral lists this ribosomal RNA (252 nucleotides) under uncultured bacterium. RNAcentral's name for it is "partial 16S ribosomal RNA". It matches the Rfam family "Bacterial small subunit ribosomal RNA", at positions 524 to 776 of the family's 1533-position model. The record is from RNAcentral.